This 1006-nucleotide long non-coding RNA is filed under the name Marmota monax (woodchuck). Lineage: Eukaryota; Metazoa; Chordata; Mammalia; Rodentia; Sciuridae. The record is from RNAcentral.
AGUCUGGGGAGCAGACUCAGGGUCAGGGAGCUUGGAAUAAGUUAAUGGCUCUAAAUAUGAUUCUGGGUAAGAAUUCCAAGUUAGAAUCUUUCCAACCAUAAGAGUCAUGGCCCUGUGUCAGAGUCUUCUAUGUCUGUGAAUAAAUGAGGGGAGAAGAGGAGGAAGUUUUCAGAAAGAGAUUAGUUCCUGCUAUGAUCUUUAUUUCUACUUUAAAAAAAGUUAUUUAAAACUCACAGAGUAUAAAUUAAUUCAGAUGUAAAUAACCAUUCAGACAACCAGGAAUUUGACAGGCAGAGGUGUCUGCCAACAUGUCCUGAGUAAUUAGCUAGAUUUUUGCACUUUUUUCAUUUGUUGGCAGCACUAGGCAACACUUACUUAUUUCUUCUCUCUGACUGGAUGGUGCUGAUUCUAGGAGUUAAAAAAAAAGACUUUGGGUUUUGGUGGUCAGCCUCUCACACUUUGGAACCUACCUUGGGGGCUCUCCAAGUUCCUGUUCUUUGAAGAUGAUUUCCUGUUCUGAAGGUGAUUUAGCAUUAAGCCUUGGGCCAAGCCACUGACUGAUCCCUGACCCAUUUCUUUUUCUUUGGAGCCAUUUUACUGAGGAUCAUAAUAUCUAUCAACUUCCCACAUCCUUGUGAGAAUUGAUUAAAGAGCCUGAGCUGUGAAGAGGAAAGUGGCCAAAUGAACACAAUUAUGGCUUUUAAGAAAACCCAAAACACACCAAUCGAUUUUCUAAGUUUGGAUCUGCUUCUGCCUCACCUCUGCCAGGAUGUUAGGGCAGCUGAGUAAUUCUCAGGGGCAGAGGCUCCAGCCCUGACACAAAAUGUCAUUAAAUUCACAACAUCUCCAAUCACUUUCUGUCCAAGUCUGACCCCAUGGAUGUGGAAGCACUUUGAAGUUAUAGCAUGUUAUAGAAAUAGGCAUUAUCAAUCACCAUCAUUAUAAGUAUACAUUCUGAAUCAAAAUAAUGGUUAUCUCUCUUCAGGUGACAUGGAAUAUCUGGGGU